CCUACGGGGGGCAGCAGUGGGGAAUUUUGGACAAUGGGCGCAAGCCUGAUCCAGCCAUGCCGCGUGUGGGAAGAAGGCCUUCGGGUUGUAAACCACUUUUGUCAGGGAAGAAACGGUCCGAUCUAAUACAUUGGAUUAAUGACGGUACCUGAAGAAUAAGCACCGGCUAACUACGUGCCAGCAGCCGCGGUAAUACGUAGGGUGCAAGCGUUAAUCGGAAUUACUGGGCGUAAAGCGUGCGCAGGCGGCUUUGCAAGACAGAUGUGAAAUCCCCGGGCUCAACCUGGGAACUGCAUUUGUGACUGCAUGGCUAGAGUACGGUAGAGGGGGAUGGAAUUCCGCGUGUAGCAGUGAAAUGCGUAGAUAUGCGGAGGAACACCGAUGGCGAAGGCAAUCCCCUGGACCUGUACUGACGCUCAUGCACGAAAGCGUGGGGAGCAAACAGGAUUAGAUACCCCAGUAGUC
Molecule: ribosomal RNA, 465 nt
Filed under: uncultured bacterium
Lineage: Bacteria
Description: bacterial SSU rRNA
Rfam family: Bacterial small subunit ribosomal RNA
Source: RNAcentral